UACGGAGGGUGCAAGCGUUAUCCGGAUUCACUGGGUUUAAAGGGUGUGUAGGCGGGUAUUUAAGUCAGUGGUGAAAUCCCCAAGCUUAACUUGGGAACUGCCGUGGAUACUAUCAAUCUUGAAUAUCGUGGAGGUAAGCGGAAUAUGUCAUGUAGCGGUGAAAUGCUUAGAUAUGACAUAGAACACCAAUUGCGUAGGCAGCUUACUACACGAUCAUUGACGCUGAGGCACGAAAGCGUGGGGAGCAAACAGG
Molecule: ribosomal RNA, 253 nt
Filed under: uncultured bacterium
Lineage: Bacteria
Description: partial 16S ribosomal RNA
Rfam family: Bacterial small subunit ribosomal RNA
Source: RNAcentral